UUUACUAAUAUAUUAUUUCCUCAAACAAAUAAAACUUUUCUUUUUUGGGAAAAUGAAAAGAAAAAAAAGUCUAUUUAAAAGUGAAUCAUUUAAUUACUCUCCUAAUCGGUAUACUCUUUAUAUAUUUAAAAUUUAGGAUAAAUUACACCAACAGUCACCCAACUUUGGGGUAACUGACAAAACAGUCACCUAAAUUUCAUUUCAG
This 205-nucleotide long non-coding RNA is filed under the name Gossypium barbadense (sea-island cotton). Its description in RNAcentral is "long non-coding RNA (GBAR_LNC009453)". The record is from RNAcentral. Lineage: Eukaryota; Viridiplantae; Streptophyta; Magnoliopsida; Malvales; Malvaceae.